Long non-coding RNA from Podarcis raffonei (Aeolian wall lizard), 1533 nucleotides. RefSeq lists it as uncharacterized. NCBI's taxonomy places the organism in Eukaryota, Metazoa, Chordata, Lepidosauria, Squamata, Lacertidae. The transcript has 2 exons. The record is from RefSeq and is a predicted model, not a curated record.
ACUUUAUUUUCCUGUUUGUAUAUUUUCCCAAAGCUGACUGAGUUCGUAUAACACAUUAUACUCUCUGUGCGGACUUAAGGAAGUUGAAGGAGGCCAAAUCUCUUCAGGAAGCAUGGAAGUUAUUUAAAAACCUCUAUAAUAGAGGUUCAGAUAAAAUGUAUGCUACAGGUCAGUAAGCGGAUGAGGAAGCCUUAGAAAAUGCCAGUGUGUUUAAAUAGCAGUGUCAAGGAAUCCAUAAAAGGAGCACAGUCUGGAAGCCUGAACUCUGAUGUAAAAAGGAUAAGGUCUUUGAUGAUUCAGGUCAAUGGAAGAUGUAGAGCCUAUGAAGACCUCCCUGUGGAGCGACGUUGCCAUUGGUUUAGAUCUCAUCAUCACAAGUCGACACCUUUAUUGCUCUGGAGCUUUUUCACAGAUGUCAGCGACAUUGUUCUCUUUGCUCUUGUUUUAAACGACUGCACUGUAAAUAAAUAAAAGAAGCUGGAUUUUUAAAAAUAGAAAACCUGUUAAGCUAAGUUUGUGGAAAUUCUCAGUAAAUAGUGAAAUCUGCCACAUGCCCUCUAACUCCUGCACAUCAUCUGCAAGUGCCUUUUCAACCACGUCAAAAUGCUGACUUGUGACCGGAUGUCAAAAUAGAUGGGGCAGACAGAUGAGGGUUCCAUCUUUAGAUGUGCAUUUCCUUCGUUUCAUUACUUGCCGGCAGAGACUGAUAUUCUUUCAGUAUGGUUUUUGCCAAGAGAUAUUAUACAGAUAAAUCAGAGGGCUAUAUAACCAAUGGCUCUGUGGAAGCCUUACACCAGGAUCAUUUUUAGUUCAGCAGUGCAAAACCAAAUUUAAUUAAUAGGGCUGAGUUUUUAACCGACUUGCCUUUUAUAAGACUUAUUAAAAGAUAAAAGUGAUGUAUUGAGAGCCACUGCCUUUGAGUGUGUGCUGCAGCCUCAUUUGCAUAAUAAAGGGGGUUUGGCACAUGAGCUUCAUAGUAAUAAUAAAUGUGUAUUAAUGAAGACAAUUAUAGACACACGAAAAUGUAUGCCGCAUAAAGGGAAGAAUCUUGGUUAUUAAUGUUGACAAAUCCAAUACAGAUGGCAUUAUGUAUGUUAAUAUUAUUAUAAAUCCUUAUUGUUAUGCACGGAUGUAUAUUAAAGCUAUCAUUAUGAAUCAUAUUCUGUCAGCUCCCAUGAGAAAAGGAAAGUACAUGAUGGCAAUAUGUAAUGGCAAAAUGCUAUUGUCAUGUUUAUAUUGAUGUCAAGUUCAAAUUGAAAUUAGUUCUUAAAAGUUGUGACAGCCACAUGGUUAUCCAUUUGAGUAAUAAUUAACAUUCCACAUAAAUGACAGUAAUAAAUUAAUAUCGAGAUAAUUAGAUUAUGUAACUGUACUCAUGCUCUGAAGUCAUCUGAUGUCAAAAGGAAUUGAAAAGAAAUUUUGGGGAGGCUGUCACACCUGGGAAUGCACACUAGAUAUGCUGAAAUGUAUACUGGAAAUGUGAUUCUCAAAUCUCUCUAGAAUAAAGCACAAGUCAUCUUGGUUUGGCUUUUU